RNA transcript from Pongo pygmaeus (Bornean orangutan), 4737 nucleotides. RefSeq lists it as uncharacterized. Lineage: Eukaryota; Metazoa; Chordata; Mammalia; Primates; Hominidae. The transcript is spliced from 3 exons. The record is from RefSeq and is a predicted model, not a curated record.
GCCUCAUAUAACGGCGGAGGGCGGCGCGCCGCGGUCCUAGCGCACGCCGGUUUCGCGCACUGCGCGGCUGGGGUAGCGCCCCGCCCCGGCCCGGAAACCGCCGGGAAGGGGACCCCGGAGCCCACCGCUCUGGGUUCCCAGUCCGUGCAGCAGUGGCCACGUACCUCGUCCCUUCCGCACCCCUGCUGGAUCUGGAAGGAAGCAGGGAAGACAAGAAAAACACGAGUGAAGCAAAAAUGUCCUGGUUUGAGAACUAAAAUGGAAAAGAGACUGAAAUCCCAGGUGUCCUAUGUGGAAAAGGCCACUGCUUCUACACACCAACAAGAGAGGAGAAUGAAAAUCGGCCACGCCGGUAGCUCACGCCUGUAAUCCUAGCAUUUUGGGAGGCCGAAGCAGGUGAAUCACUUGAGGCCAGGAGUUUGAGACCAGCCUGGCCAACAUGGCGAAACCCCGUCUUUACUAAAUAUACAAAAAUUAGCUGGGAGUGGUGGUGCACUCCUGUAAUCCCAGCCACUCGGGAGGCUGAGGUACAAGAAUCAGUUGAAGCCAGGAGGCGGAGGUUGCAGUGAACCGAGAUCACGUCACUGCACUCCAGCUUGGGCGACAGAGCAAGACUCCGUCUAAAAAAAAAAAAAAGCCAGGUGCGUGGCUCACACCUGUAAUCCUAGCACUUUGGGAGGCUAUGGUGGAUCACAAGGUCAUGAGAUCGAGACCAUCCUGGACAAUACGAUGAAACCCCGUCUCUACUAAAAUUAGCUGGGCGUGGUGGCACAUGCCUGUAAUCCCAGCUUUUCGGGAGGCUGAGGCAGGAGAAUCGAUCGAACCUGGGAGUCCAAGGUUGUGCCGCUGCACUCCAGCCUGGGUGACAGAGCGAGACUCCGUCUCAAAGAAAAUCACCGAACAACAAAGGCCCGUUAAAUGCCUGUAAUCAGCACUUUGGGAAGGUGAGGCAGGUGGAUCACUUGAGGAAACCAUUUGGCACCUCCUCUGGAACGAAGGCAUGGCGGGGCACUUGAGAUCUGGCUGUUGAGGCAGAGGUAGUGCACGUGACCCACGCAGUGAGGUCUGCUCCCCGCUGCUGCAGCCAUCUGCGAUGGAGACCGUGAGUGUACACAGGCAGUGCCAUCUGAAGGGAACUCCGCUGCCUCUAUGUGCUACUGAGGCAGGGGCGACUGAGCCGGAGACUGGAGAAAUGUGUCCGUCUUCACGGACAGCCUGGCUUAGCUGUCCGUGGCUGCCUCCCGCCGUGGAGGAGCACACUGGAGUGGCCCGUGCAGUGGACCAGAGCUUCCACCCACACUGUGUUCUGUCUCCUUUCCUAGAACACAACUGGACGACGUUUCCCACCUCCGUGCAAAAUGAGAGUGGACAUCAGGGGUGCCACUUCCACACCUAGCUCAUGGAAGCUCCCAGAUGGUCUCGGCCCUCCAUGCUCCCCGCUACUUCAGGCUGGAUGGAGACGGACGGCUCAGGGUGCUCUGUCUCUGAUGCCUGCAUGAGCGCUGCCCUGCCAGCCCAUUCCCCUGCCCAAUAUUAUGGAAGCAAAAACGUUCUAUGGUGUUUGAGCCAUUGUUGCUCGGGUCUAUUUAUUACAGAACUAGCAUAGCCCUAAUACAGUCAUUGCUACGUGGCCAUAAUACAUGUAUUCUAUAAUUGCACAUAAUUUUAUUCACCGAAGGGAUGUCCUUUACUUUCAAGAUUCUGAAUUUUUCAGAAAUGCAACAUUCAAGGUUAAAGUUGCUGCUAGACCAAGGCUAAACCAUGGCGAGGUAGUUGCUUGCGCCGGAGAGUGUGGGUGUGAACAGCUGGAGCUCAGUGGUUCCUGGCGACUCAGGGACCACCUGUAUUCCACAUCCGGCCUCCCACCCAUGCACACGCAGUAUGACCUGGGUUUCCCUUUUAUCCAGUGGAAUGCUAAGUGCCUACACCCUAGCUGGGGUCAGCCAACUAUGGCCUGUGGGCAUCAUCCCGCCUGCAGCCUGUUUUUGUACAGCCCUUGAGCUAAGAAUGUUGUUGACACUUUUAAAAACAGAGAACAUGUGACAGUCUGUACGCGGCCUGUAAAGCCUAAACUCUUUACUAUCUGCGUCUGCCUUAUAGGAUUGCUGGGAGGAUUACAAAGACUUUAUUAGGCCAGUGCCUGGCUCAAAGUUAGCAUGCCACACAAAAUAAUACAUACAGUACAGCUAUUCACGUCUCCAAAAAGCAAUUGUCCCACAUCCAAAUUUUGCAUUUUGUCUAGUUGAUGUCUCUCCUUCCCUCCAAAAAAAAAAAAAAAGACAAAAUAAAAACAUGAAGAGCUGCAUGUUCAUCAUCAUGGUCACAGACACUUUUCGGUUAAAAAGUUGCUGGUGGUCUGAGUUCACUUACUUGGAGUAUGGACUAAGGAGGGGAAAGCAAAGAGAUGCGUGACAUCAGCAGCAGAAAGCCUGCGACACGGCAGCUCUGCUCAGUUUUCUCCAUGGGGAAAGACCGUAACACUUACAAAUGAGAACAGGGCUUUAAGUAGAUAGUAUGCAAUGGAAAACUGAGCUAGCAACAGUACUUAAUGCUGGUUUUCUCAAUAAAAUCAUUUUGCUGUGUAAAUGCGCUUAUAAUGGGGAUCUGUUAUGAGUCUCAGGCAGGCGACAUGAAAGCCGGCCUUUCAAAAUCUGAUUAGGUGGAUAAUGUUUGCAAACAUGACGCCUGGCAAAACCGGUCUGAUUCUAAGGUAAACUCAUUUUGGACAUAACUGAUGUCUCACUGAGCUAGCUUUUCAAAGCAUGUCUGCGAACACCGGACCCCCGGGGAUGGUUUGUGCGUGUAGGGGAGGGAAAUUCCGGGGUUUAAUAUAUCAAGAUGACACACACGCUGCACACUUCUCUUAGAAAGUCACGACGCACAGUACUGUGCAUUACAGGUAUGGAGAAACACCACCAUAGAGUCAGUUGACUUUGUUUAACCUAUAACCUUUUUUCCUCCCACAUAGUAGGUAGUAACAUCACACAGAAACAGUGCUCUGGGGACAUUUUGGACACAUCGUAUACAGCGCAGCCAUUCAAAUCAACGGCAACAGAACGCACGAAGAACCUGGUUUUCUUUCAAAGCAUGAGCAGUUCUCAUUUUACAACAUGUGUUUUAACAUAAUUCAAAAAGUGCAAUCUUUGCAUGACAACCAGAUAAUUCUCAAAGGUUACUAGUGAGCUGAUAAAAUUAACGUUUGGCAAGGAGGUCAUGGUUUACAAGUAGGCUGUCCGCUCACCAAUGCUCAGAAAAAUUCAGAACAUACUUUUCAUAUUUAGAUCCGAAGAGAGGGGAGAGACAUUCUACUCAAGUCAUGGCUGGGCUUUCUGUCCUGAAACGAAAUUGGGCAGGCCAUUUGCGUGGUUUCUCUGGAUAAGUUCCAUUUAUUGAUCAGUGUACAAAAAAAUCUUGGCAUUCAUUUGAAGAGAAAAGAAGUUGCUAUAUCCAAAUAUUUAACAUUUUAACAUUGUGAAAGUUCAACGUUUAUAACAGGGCUUUUUAAAAUGGAGAAAAGUUUUGGAAAAUUUUUAAAAAGAAACUUAUGAUUUAUUAGAGUACAGGAUCCAAAACACGUUUUUAGAAAAAUAUAAAGUGCCCAAAUACCAACUUACACAGGUGAUACAGGCUUCCUGGAGCCCCAUGAAGCAUUCAUGAAGAAAGACAUUUAAAAACAGUCUAGAUACAUAUUUACAGCUGGGUCAGUAAAGGUAAAACCAUCUUUCUUGACUUUGAUGUGUCUAAGAAAAAAGGAAAUCAAUCAAACCAGAAAACCAACAAUUCCAACUCUCAGCAUGCUCAGGUUCUUAUUAAUGCAUCUCAUUCAUAUUAAUUAAUUCCACAUUAUCGAACUUUCCCCUUUAAAUCAGAGUAGUGUACAAUCCUCCCAACCUCAGCGGGCCAGGUGCUGUGAGUGGUCACAUUUCCAGAUGCAGGUUCAAAUCCUUUGAUUUUGGAUUUGACUGAUGAGGAACAUGGACAGUGGAUAAUAGCUCAUUCAGGCUGGAGGAGCCAGGGGCCAAAUCCCCAUCUCUUUCUAGUAACUGCUUCAAGCCUUCCCCUGCUAUGAAGUGGUCUUAGGUGGCUUUCCAAACCUCGGUCACCCCAGGGUUUCCAAAGGGUAAACAAGCAGCAGGCAUUCAACAUGGGUGAGAAUACUGCAUGCAGAUGGACAGACAGGUGCACAGACAGGCCCCUAACGCCCCAUUCACUAGAGCAACUGCAUUAUUUUAAACGUUGAGAGCAAAGUAACUAGGUCCUAACUUCAGAAGUUAGCUUCUAUCGAUUAAUGACAAGAUUAGCUCGCUUGAGAACUGGCAGGCCGAGAGUUGGGGGAACUCCAGAGCUGCACGAAGACGUGCAGUUACUCUGGGCUCAGUUACUGAGAACUUCGGAAAGGAGCCAGUGCCGUCUGAACACAUGGUCAGGCUUUCCCAGAAGAUGCCACAACAGGCUUCGUCCUGCUGCCGUCACGACCCUGGCGGCUUGGAAAAGCAGAUUCCAACACGCACAUCUCCUUUCACACAAGUCCAACACUCUUCAAAUGAAAGACAUUCUCUCUUUCUAACCUGCCACAUUCGAACAGGCCUUGAAGUGCCUCUAAGGAAUAACAAGAGGUGUGAAACCACUUUUUUUCCCUUCAAAACCUUUUUUUUUUUUUUAAGGUUCAUUAAUUUUUUUUUUUCCUGAUUACAAAAGCAAAACCUCAUUUUUUGGUCUUCGGAGACCAUGGAGUAU